GAUGAACGAAAACAGCCUGUUGAUGGCUUAAAAUAAACCUGCCCUUUUCUAUUUAGCAUUUUAUCAAAUGAAAGUAAUUUCUUUUGCGGAUGAAUUUAGUUCAGCUCCAAAAGAUUUCUUCUCUUCUUCAUGGGGAGGCUGAAGAAUCAGAAUUGUCAUUCCAGAGAAAGGAAAUACUAUGCUUAGAAACAAAAGGCAGCCAGCAUUCAGGGAGCAGUCUGAGAUCUGUGCAGGUUAUUUAUUUCAAGGACUUGGAUGUGCCAAAACUUUGAAUUGAAUAACUCUGCCACAACAGGGUAGAGUGGGACCUUCUCAGGAGUACCGGGAAAAAUGGGAUGAGCAUUGUAAAGGUGAGCACAGAGGAGAACAGCAAGAAGGAAGGAGAUCCAAGACCUUUCUUCAUGUCAGCAAUUAAAUUCCUGAAGAUGACUAUUCAUCUAAGCUUUGUGAUUAUAACAAGGACAGGAUUGAAGGGAAUCAUGGAAGGAAACUGGGAGAAAUUUCAAAAACCUGAUCUCUGGACUUGCACCAAGUAGAAUUCAAGAAAGUAAGUUUCCUUUUCUUUCUCUGUCCCACAGGUUCCUUAUUCAUCUAAAGUAGCAAUUGCAAACACUUUUUAAGUCAUUUCCCCCUCUUUUUAGCCAGCCAUGUAACCUAGAAUGUGACAUAUAUCAUAAUCUACUGUGAAAGAACCCCAACUUUAAUUAUAAGAAUGAUCAUCCCAUCUACAGAUGUAAACUGCUUGAAGUUCGGGAUUAUUUCAUUUUUGUCUUUUUAUUCCCAGUGUCUAGGACAGUGUCUGGCACUUAAGUAUUUAUGUACUGAAUUGAAUUAAAUUACAAGAAUUGAAUUAUUAAAACAAUCACUCCAUCAUAUUUUUCCAUAGCUAUUAUAAAAUUUUUGUUGGUCCUGAAACAUAGUUAAAACUAUAUCAACAUUUUUAAUAGUGAUCUAACUCCAUUUAGUUUUUUAAUCUUUUAUUGAUGCUCUUUGGAUUUUUUGGGCUACAGUCAUAUCCCAAUAUCUAGUCCUCCCUACUCCAUUGCAAUCAGUCUUUAUAACAAAGAAAAAUAGUUAAGUAAAAACCAAAUGACAUUACAAUCACAGCUAAUAGCACAUACUCAUUCAUUUUUGACAUUUAGUGCUAGAAAUUAGGCUCCUUCCCAAAUUUUUGUAUUUCCCAACGGUUUUAUGUUUUCUUGGUAUAGUUAGAGUUUUGUCUUCCAUCUGAAGGUCUCAACAAGAUGAAUCUUUUAGAGAUAAAGAAAAUUUCUUUUUCUUCCUUGUUUCUCUUUUUUUUUCUUUAAAAAAUUGCUACAUGUUGAGUUCUGUUCAUUUCCCUCUUUCUGUGUCU
Molecule: long non-coding RNA, 1354 nt
Organism: Sarcophilus harrisii (Tasmanian devil)
Lineage: Eukaryota; Metazoa; Chordata; Mammalia; Dasyuromorphia; Dasyuridae
Exons: 3
Source: RefSeq, a predicted model, not a curated record